ACAAGAAAACCACAGCAGGGACAGCAGCUGGCAUUGUUCGCUGCAAGGCACGUACAGUGUAUUCUGCGAUAACUUCUGGUGCAACUUUAGGGGAUUCAGAUCCAGGAGUGACCAUGUUGGGCUUCAACAAUGUACCCUCGAGGAGGACAUGGUGGUCAUUGAGAGCCUUGUAGCAAGCAGCAAGAACACGCUCGGUGACAUCAGCACAUUUGUUAAUGUCGUGGCCUCCAUCAACAAGGAUCUCAGGUUCAACAAUGGGGACAAGACCAUUCUGCUGGCAGAUGAUGGCAUAUCUUGCAAGGCCAUUGGCAUUGUCAUUGAUAGCAAGCUGAGAAGGCUCGUUGGCACCAAUCUUGAGCACUGCACGCCAUUUUGCAAACCUAGCACCAGCAGCAUAGUACUUUUGGCAGCGCUCAGCAAGGCCAUCCAAACCCUGAGUAGUCGUCUCACCAUCGGUUCCAGGAAGCUCUACGGUACCCUUGUCGACUUUAAUCCCAGGGAGAACUCCACCCUCCUUCAAGACAUCAACAAAAGGCUUGCCUGCAGAUAUGAGUAAAAACUGUCAGAAUAUCAUACAUAAAGCACCCCAAGUGCAAUUAUCAGGUAAGCUGAAUAUCAUUAAUCCAUUCUUCGCACACGAAAAUACAUAUUACAAUCCAUAUGAACAUACCGGAUGCAGUCUUCUGAUAGAGGGUUUCCUCAAACAAGAUAACUCCACUAAGGUACUGAAGAGCACCAGGUGUGAGGAAGAGCAGCUCCCGGAGAGCCCUCCGGUUUUCCUCAACAUUCUCAACAUUAAUACUAGAUAGACGCUUGCCAAUUGUGCCAGUAGACUCGUCAGCAGCAAGGAUACCCUUACCAGGGGUGGCUAUGUAUGCAGCAUUUGCGAUGAGCUCAUCUGCAUCAAUUCCAACAUGCGUUGUAUGUUAGUAACAAGUAACAAAACAAGGUAACUGAAGUUCAUAGAAAUUACAGGAUCAACGGUAAAAGGUGACACUAACAGACAAGUUAACAAAUAUAACACCAAUUAGCAGGACACGACAUUCAGAAUUUAAACAUUCAAUAGUUCCAAGCAAGCAAUUUAGAUAAUAACAUAGAGCGAACAAAUCUAAGCAGAAGGGAAGCACAGAUAUGUGAAAGCUGUGUGAGCUGCAGACAAAUCGAAUAGCAGAGAUCAAAGAAUGGAGGGAAAACACAAAAUGAAACCUAAUCCGCUUGUUGCUGUACACCAUUCAAUGCUCAAAUGUUAUGUCUUUCUUUAAAAUGUAGUCCGGAUAAGGAGCAUAGACAGCCAUAUCAAGACCCUUAAGUUUGAUUUCACAGUUGCCCGUAUUUUUUCGACAAGUCUUAAGAGCUAAAAACUUUCUACAUCAAAAUGAAACUAAUUUUGUUUUGCUUACAGUAUUAAAUUGUACACAAUAGACAAAGAAUGAAUCAACAAAAGAAUUUUUAGAAAAGGAGAAAACCACAUCGAAUCUUUAGUGAGAAUAUGCAUUUGAAGAAAUAGUCAAAAUCUUCAGAACAACAUAACGAAAGAGUUUUAAAACUAGCAUAAUCAUUUGAUCAGAACAUUAACAAUUAUUAGCUAUUUGGCAAAUACAGAACACUUCCAUAUUAACAAGUAAAAGUUGAGACAGAUAAUACUCAUGCUGUCUCAUCUUAUACCAAAUUAGGGCGAAGUUUGCCCAUUAAUCAUAAAAACGUUUUCAACACAUGGAAAUUUUGAUUUAUAAAAAUUAAGAAAUAAACGUCCUAAUGCAUGCAGAAAUUUAAAUUAAUCAUUCUAGUUGAAACAACGGAGUAGUGAAAAUAGUAUCAACACUCUCACACGAGAGAUCCAGCAUUUAACUUUGCUAAUGAAGAGCUAGGCAACUAGAUCAAAGUUCAAAAGAACAUAACAAACCAAACGUAAAAAAGAGCACAACUUUUAACAGCAAGCCCUAAGAUCUGAACAAGAUAUCUAAACAUCAUAGAAAAAUUAGACCGAUCCAGAUCAAAAAUAAAUUAAAGAUCUAUCAACAGACACAGAUUUUGGAUCAAACAAAGCAAGAUUCAAAUUACGAUCAGACAACCAGAAGUUAAAAUUAUUAAGAAAGAGAGAAGAGCAAAAAAUUUACCGGCGUAUUUUCCCUUGUAACAAGACAUGGUUAUUUGCUUGGGCGAAGAGUGAAGAAAAGAGAUGAGAAGUUUGGUAGACAGAGAUAGAUGGGCAGAGUGGGGGGAAAUUAGGUUUCAUAAAUAGUGAGAACAUCGAUGUUAUCGCUAAAUUGCGACCCCUUCUGCACGAAACUGGCGGC
Molecule: long non-coding RNA, 2297 nt
Filed under: Nicotiana tabacum (common tobacco)
Lineage: Eukaryota; Viridiplantae; Streptophyta; Magnoliopsida; Solanales; Solanaceae
Description: long non-coding RNA (NTAB_LNC000609)
Source: RNAcentral